This 186-nucleotide ribosomal RNA is filed under the name Campylobacter coli. RNAcentral's name for it is "partial 16S ribosomal RNA". It matches the Rfam family "Bacterial small subunit ribosomal RNA", at positions 1 to 179 of the family's 1533-position model. Lineage: Bacteria; Pseudomonadati; Campylobacterota; Epsilonproteobacteria; Campylobacterales; Campylobacteraceae. The record is from RNAcentral.
UUUUUAUGGAGAGUUUGAUCCUGGCUCAGAGUGAACGCUGGCGGCGUGCCUAAUACAUGCAAGUCGAACGAUGAAGCUUCUAGCUUGCUAGAAGUGGAUUAGUGGCGCACGGGUGAGUAAGGUAUAGUUAAUCUGCCCUACACAAGAGGACAACAGUUGGAAACGACUGCUAAUACUCUAUACUCC